Molecule: unclassified non-coding RNA, 240 nt
Filed under: soil metagenome
Description: partial contains 5.8S ribosomal RNA, internal transcribed spacer 2, and large subunit ribosomal RNA
Source: RNAcentral
AACUGAUACUACCUGCGGGAACCUGCGGAGGGAUCAUUACUGAGUGAGGGCCCCUCGGGGUCCAACCUCCCACCCGUGUUUAACGAACCUUUGUUGCUUCGGCGGGCCCGCCUCACGGCCGCCGGGGGGCUCCUGCCCCCGGGCCCGCGCCCGCCGAAGCCCCCCCUUGAACGCUGUCUGAAGUUUGCAGUCUGAGAAACUAGCUAAAUUAGUUAAAACUUUCAACAACGGAUCUCUAGA